Molecule: ribosomal RNA, 464 nt
Filed under: Viviparidae sp. 4 MS-2019
Lineage: Eukaryota; Metazoa; Mollusca; Gastropoda; Architaenioglossa; Viviparidae
Description: partial large subunit ribosomal RNA
Rfam family: Bacterial large subunit ribosomal RNA
Source: RNAcentral
AGACCUGCCCGGUGAAUAUUUAUUUAAACGGCCGCGGUAUUUUGACCGUGCAAAGGUAGCAUAAUCAAUUGUCUUAUAAUUGAAGACUGGAAUGAAUGGUUAAACGAAAUUAGAGCUGUUUCAUUUGUAUUUACUAGAAAUUGACUUUUAAAUGAAGAGAUUUAAAUUUGAUUAAGGGACAAGAAGACCCUAUUGAGCUUUAAAUAAUUUUAAGGGUUAAAGUUAUUAUAAAGAUUUAUGAUCUUUAGUAUUUUUUAGUUGGGGCGACUAAGGAACAAGUGAAGCUUCCUUUAUUUAUUUAAUUGAUAGAUUUUGAUCCUGUAUUACUGAUUAAGAGAAAUAGUUACCAUAGGGAUAACAGCAUAAUCUUCUUGGAGAGUUCUUAUUAAAAAGGGGGGUUGUGACCUCGAUGUUGGACUAAAAUAUCCUAAGGGUGUAGAAGCUUUUAAGGGUUGGUCUGUUCG